ACAAGUCUCCUGGAAUGGAGCGUCAUAGAGGGUGAGAAUCCCGUCUUUGACACGGACUGCCAGGACUUUGUGAUGCGCUCUCAAAGAGUCGAGUUGUUUGGGAAUGCAGCUCUAAAUGGGUGGUAAAUUCCAUCUAAAGCUAAAUAUUGGCGAGAGACCGAUAGCGAACAAGUACCGUGAGGGAAAGAUGAAAAGAACUUUGGAAAGAGAGUUAAACAGUACGUGAAAUUGUUGAAAGGGAAACGCUUGAAGUCAGUCAUGUUGGCCAGGGAUCAACCUUGCUCUUCUGCUUGGUGUACUUUCUGGUUGAUGGGUCAGCAUCAAUUUUGACCAGUGGAAAAAGGUCAAGGGAAUGUGGCAUCUUUGGAUGUGUUAUAGCCCUUGGUUGCAUACAUUGGUUGGGAUUGAGGAACUCAGCAUGCCGCAAGGCCGGGUAAUUUUUACCACGUUCAUGCUUAGGAUGCUGGCAUAAUGGCUUUAAUCGACCCGUCUUGAAACACGGACCAAGGAGUCUAACAUGCCUGCAAGUGUUUGGGUGGAAAACCCAAGCGCGCAAUGAAAGUGAAAGUUGGGAUCCCUGUCGUAGGGAGCACCGACGCCCGGACCAGAUCUUUUGUGACGGUUCCGCGGUAGAGCAUGUAUGUUGGGACCCGAAAGAUGGUGAACUAUGCCUGAAUAGGGUGAAGCCAGAGGAAACUCUGG
Molecule: ribosomal RNA, 702 nt
Filed under: Entoloma whiteae
Lineage: Eukaryota; Fungi; Basidiomycota; Agaricomycetes; Agaricales; Entolomataceae
Description: LSU rRNA
Rfam family: Eukaryotic large subunit ribosomal RNA
Source: RNAcentral